UUGAACGCUGGCGGCAGGCCUAACACAUGCAAGUCGAACGGUAACAGGAAGCAGCUUGCUGCUUUGCUGACGAGUGGCGGACGGGUGAGUAAUGUCUGGGAAACUGCCCGAUGGAGGGGGAUAACUACUGGAAACGGUAGCUAAUACCGCAUAACGUCGCAAGACCAAAGAGGGGGACCUUAGGGCCUCUUGCCACCGGAUGUGCCCAGAUGGGAUUAGCUAGUAGGUGGGGUAACGGCUCACCUAGGCGACGAUCCCUAGCUGGUCUGAGAGGAUGACCAGCCACACUGGAACUGAGACACGGUCCAGACUCCUACGGGAGGCAGCAGUGGGGAAUAUUGCACAAUGGGCGCAAGCCUGAUGCAGCCAUGCCGCGUGUAUGAAGAAGGCCUUCGGGUUGUAAAGUACUUUCAGCGGGGAGGAAGGGAGUAAAGUUAAUACCUUUGCUCAUUGACGUUACCCGCAGAAGAAGCGCCGGCUAACUCCGUG
RNAcentral lists this ribosomal RNA (489 nucleotides) under uncultured bacterium. Its description in RNAcentral is "partial 16S ribosomal RNA". It matches the Rfam family "Bacterial small subunit ribosomal RNA", at positions 30 to 507 of the family's 1533-position model. The record is from RNAcentral.